RNAcentral lists this ribosomal RNA (275 nucleotides) under uncultured bacterium. RNAcentral's name for it is "partial 16S ribosomal RNA". It matches the Rfam family "Bacterial small subunit ribosomal RNA", at positions 338 to 628 of the family's 1533-position model. The record is from RNAcentral.
CCUACGGGUGGCAGCAGUCGAGGAUCUUCGGCAAUGGGCGAAAGCCUGACCGAGCGACGCCGCGUGUGCGACGAAGGCCUUCGGGUUGUAAAGCACGAAAGCGGGGAGGAAGGGCAACUUGACCGAUCCGCAGUAAGCACGGGCUAAGUUCGUGCCAGCAGCCGCGGUAAGACGAACCGUGCGAACGUUGUUCGGAAUCACUGGGCUUAAAGGGCGCGUAGGCGGCGACACACGUCCGGGGUGAAAGGCACCAGCCCAACUGGUGCAGUGCUUCG